UUGAAAGGGAAGCGCUCAGACUCGUUUCGGAAGCUCAGCCUUCCUCCGGGUUGGUGUAUUCUUCUGUCAGCGGGCCAGCAUCAGUUUCGACGGCUGGAUAAAGGUUUUGGGAAUGUAGCUCUUUUCGAACACUUUAUAGCCUGGAACGUAAUGCAGUGGUCGAGACUGAGGUCCGCGCUUUUGCUAGGAUGCGGCAAAUUGGU
This 203-nucleotide ribosomal RNA is filed under the name Graphis scripta. RNAcentral's name for it is "partial large subunit ribosomal RNA". The record is from RNAcentral. Lineage: Eukaryota; Fungi; Ascomycota; Lecanoromycetes; Ostropales; Graphidaceae.